Molecule: long non-coding RNA, 1846 nt
Organism: Tupaia belangeri chinensis (Chinese tree shrew)
Lineage: Eukaryota; Metazoa; Chordata; Mammalia; Scandentia; Tupaiidae
Exons: 3
Source: RefSeq, a predicted model, not a curated record
CAAUUUAAAGGAAAAAAAUUCAGGGGCCUUUGUCAUUGAAUUUUGUAGGGGCCAGCAGUAUGGGGGCAUGUUGAGACAUUGGUAAGUCGUUGCAUCUAGCCCAAACUACAACCAAGAGAGGCACCACUCUUAGUAGGUCUUUGGGAUUUUAGAGGCAACAUAUUCCUGUGAGUGUGCUGCUCCAAUCCAUGUACUGAAUGGCUCAAAAAAGCUCCUGGAUUUCAGUGAGGCCCACAACAGGACCAAGCUACGCAGUGGUCCAGGCAGCUGUGCUUUGUCACUAAAGCUGUAUGUUCCAGCAGAUCUAAUGGUGUUUGAAGUGGCAGUAGCAGAUAAGGACGCUGCUUAGAGCCAUUGCCAGGUGCUAUUAGGUGAAUUUCAGUGCCAGCCUUAUGAUUUAGACGAGGAUUGACUGUUGCUAGCAUUUACUGAUAACUAUUUUCCUGUUGAGAAAGAGCUCUUGGUUUGCUAUUGGUUAAUAGAGACUGAACACUUAACUAUGUGCCACCACGUUACGUGACCUGAGCUGCCUGUCAUGAACUGGGUGUCAUCUGACCCAGCAAGCCAUAAAGUUGGGUAUGCCCAGCAGCACUCCAUCAUCAAAUGGAAGUGGUAUACCUAUGACUGGACUUGGCUAUGCUCCUGUUCGGAUAAGCUCAUACUGAAUUAGACUGGACCCUAAACCUAGUAUCACUGGUGUCCACAUGAGAAGAGGAAAUUUUGAACAUGAAAGACAGAUACGGAAAAAAUACCAUGUGAAGACAGAGGCAGAGAUUAGAAUGAUGGGUAUGUAAGCCACAGAAAGGCAAGGAUGGCCGACAACUACCAGAAACCAGAAGAGGCAAGAAAGGAAUCUUUGGACCCCACAGGUGGCAUGAAAAUUAAGCCUGUAACCUCCAAGCCAGCAUGGAUAGAGGAAGAGGAGGAUCAUGCAUGGGAGGCUUUUAUGAGCCAGUCCUGGAAGUAGCACACGUCAUUUCAUACUCCAGUGGCUGGAACUCAGUCAGAUGAUGCCAACACAGCUGAACUGUAUGUCCAAAGGAAGGAGCAAAUCUUUCCCCCAAAUAAUUGUAUCAUAUUGGCACACAUCAAAAGUCCACUGCCUCUAGCUGGCCCUUUACCGAAGCAGUUAAGGACUGUGCGUUGGAAGCUGAUCCCACAUGGCUGGCCACAGUUCAAAUUCUGGUCCUGGCAGCUUGAGAAACGUGCCAGCACACAUCUAUCUGUAUGUGCUUAAAAUGCAGGAAGACAGUAUGGAGGAAAAAGGAUUGUGGCAUGACCACACCCUGUUGGGGAGAUGCUCUCUCUCUCUCUGGUAAGUGCACCACUCCUACAACAAUUAAAAUGAAUUGCCUUUUACAACCUACCUUCAAUCUAAUAACUUCUCUUUCCUUGCACCAGAGAAAUGAAGCCUAGACUAGUGGAAGUAUCUUCAGAUCUGGCACUAAAUUCACAUCUGAUUUUAUUACCUAUAGCUAACAUCAUCACAGUAGUGAAAAACUGAAAGAUUUCUCCAUAAGAUGAGGAAAAAUAAAAAGAAGUCUUUUCUAAUCGCUUUUAUUCAACAUGAGGUUCUAGCUAGGGCAGUUAGGCAGUGGAAAGAAAUAUACAGAUUAGAAAAGAAGUAAAACCAUCUCUAUUUGCAGAUGGGAAUGCUCCUAUAUAAAAGAUAUCCUGAGGAAUAAAAAACGAACAAAAACUACUGAAACUAACAAGUACUGCAAAAUUGCAGGGCACAAGAUCACUACGUAAAAAUAAAUCUAGUGGUACCACAUAAAGAAUAAUAUAGUCAGGACCAGCAAAUGGCUCAAUGGUUACAUCGCUGGACUCCCAUGUACUCAACUGC